CUGUGUUGUGGCCCCAAGGCGGGCAGCCGAUGGCCUCUGCCCGAGCCAAUAUGAGCUGCAGCCUAAUUACAGGGGACGGUGACCCCAGGGAGCAGAGUUCAGGCUCCGGUCACAGCUGCACCCAGGAGCCAGCUGCUUCCCAGACCUGCAGAGCCAGGGGAGAGGUUUGGAGGACCGGCACUGAAUGACAUGAUCCAAAGCGCGCCAAGCUGGGCUGGAGGUGACGGCAGAGCCACAGUGGCCACAGAGCCCCCACGUGAACCUACACGGAUCUGCCUGGUUUAGGUUCUGCUGAACUCCAGGGUGAGGAGGACCUGGUCUCCAUUCUCAAAGACAUGAAGAGGUUGACAAAGAAGAGUCACAGAAGUGACAAGUGUCCUGCUCCCAGCCCCGUUCACACACUCACCCAUCAAGUGUGGCAGGGACAGCCGCCUCUUACCAUCCACCUUGGGACCUGGACCUAAGUGGAGGUUUCUGGAGGGGCAGAUCCAGGGGAAAGGGUCUCCUCAGAAGCAGCCGCCAUUCAGAGGACCUGAGAUGAGAACCUCAUCACGCCCUCAUCAGACAGAGGAGAUCCGCGGUGUCUCCGAGCCUGGUCUCCCACUCCCCACCCAGCAGCGUUCCCUCCGCUCACCCCAAGCUUAGAACAUUCUGCUUCCCCUAAGAUCAGCUGCCGCAGUGGACUGAAUAGUGACCCCCAAAAGACAUGCCAGAGCCCUAGCCCUCGGACCUGUGAAUGUGACAGGAGUUGGAAUAGGGUCUUUGCAGAUGCAAUAAAGGAUCUCAAGAGGAGAGUA
Homo sapiens (human) is the source of this 797-nucleotide long non-coding RNA. RefSeq lists it as uncharacterized. Lineage: Eukaryota; Metazoa; Chordata; Mammalia; Primates; Hominidae. The transcript has 2 exons. The record is from RefSeq and is a predicted model, not a curated record.